CAGCAGCCGCGGUAAUACGAAGGGUGCAAGCGUUGUUCGGAAUUACUGGGCGUAAAGCGCACGUAGGCGGCUUGGUAAGUUAGAGGUGAAAGCCUGGAGCUCAACUCCAGAAUUGCCUUUAAGACUGCCGAGCUAGCAGGUGAGAGAGGUAAGUGGAAUUCCGGGUGUAGAGGUGAAAUUCGUAGAUAUUCGGAAGAACACCAGUGGCGAAGGCGGCUUACUGGCUCAUACUGGACGCUGAGGUGCGAAAGCGUGGGGAGCAAACAGGAUUAGAUACCCCCGUAGUCCCUGUCUCUUAUAC
This 301-nucleotide ribosomal RNA is filed under the name uncultured bacterium. RNAcentral describes it as "partial 16S ribosomal RNA". It matches the Rfam family "Bacterial small subunit ribosomal RNA", at positions 509 to 807 of the family's 1533-position model. The record is from RNAcentral.